RNAcentral lists this ribosomal RNA (253 nucleotides) under uncultured bacterium. RNAcentral's name for it is "partial 16S ribosomal RNA". It matches the Rfam family "Bacterial small subunit ribosomal RNA", at positions 524 to 776 of the family's 1533-position model. The record is from RNAcentral.
UACAGAGGGGGCAAGCGUUGUUCGGAAUUACUGGGCGUAAAGGGCGCGUAGGCGGCCUGUUAAGUCGAACGUGAAAUCCCUGGGCUCAACCCAGGAACUGCGUCCGAUACUGGCAGGCUUGAAUUCGGGAGAGGGAUGCGGAAUUCCAGGUGUAGCGGUGAAAUGCGUAGAUAUCUGGAGGAAUACCGGUGGCGAAGGCGGCAUCCUGGACCGACAUUGACGCUGAGGAGCGAAAGCUAGGGGAGCAAACGGG